CUUACCUGGUUCAUAAAUCCUUCAGCUUCCUGGUUUGGAGUCAAACAAGUCUUCAGUCUUCUCUCCUCAAGCAGAGAUUACUCUGCGAUGCUGCAACAACUGGCAUCUGGGCCCACCGUGCUUCACCUUUCCUUUUAUAGGUGCCUUUUGCCACGUGACGUUGUAGCUCCUCCUUUACUAAAAGGAUACAGUAUGUUUUCUUUCUUCUGACUUUGGGCUUGGCCAUGAGGUGGCAACCCACUCCAGUAGUCUUGCCUGGAGAACCCCACGGACAGAGAAGCCUGGCAGGCUACAGUCCAUGGGGUCACAAGAGUUGGACACGACUGACCGACUAAACCACCACCACCAUCACGAGACUUGUUUGGGCAAACAGAAUAUAGCAGAAAUGAUAGUGUAUCCGCUCUGGGUCUGUGGCGCCUCAAGACACCUUGCAACUUUCAAGUCUCUUGCUUAAUCCUCUGCUGUUACCGUGAGGAAGACUUGCCUUAAGUAUUCAGUUCAUCAGAGGGAGAUGAGGGAUGUGUGGGGAAGAGCUGCCCCAGCUGAGCCCAAUUUAGGUUAACCAGCCCUUCUAGGCCCCACAGGUGCAUGAGAUAAACCAUUUCUUCUUUUGUGAGCUGCUGAGAACUCUGGUUGUGCAUUACCCAGGUUUAUUGAAGCAACUGUUAAUCCAGACACUGACCCUCCAAAGUUAAUCAUUUCUUCUGGCACCAUGAGAGUGAGGUCAGCACCAAACCCUUCGGGCCCUUUCCACUUGGACUCUUUUUCAUUUGUCUAUUAUCUCUGCAUGGUAACAACAUGGUCACUCCCCUAACCAAACUGCAUUCCUGUUUUUAAGCCAUAGUUAAAAGAAAUUUCUUUUGAAAUAAUAGUGGAGAAAAUGCAAGGUCCUUUUUAAGAAAAAGAAUGGAGAAUCCAUGCAUGGGAAUAUGCAUCUCUUCUUGAACCAUCCUCUACAGCCAAAGAUUUAAAUCCAGCACUUAAGAUUAUCUGAACGCAGAGCCACUAAAACAAAACAGAACAGAAACUUAAAAUCUGCCAUUGUGCUAGCAUUCACAUCUCUUGGGAUGAUAUGAAAUAGGAGGGGUUAAGAGUCACUCAGUUGUGCUCUUGGAUGAUCACAGAGCUAUCUUUAGAACCAGGCAGAACCAGGUUACUGAAGCACAAACUAACGGUGUAUGCCUGGGAAGCAAAAUUCAUAGGGACUGGCUAAUAAGCUGAUGCUGCUUUUCUUAACUGGCUGAGAAGUUGAUCGUCACCUGAAAAGUUCAUGAUCCGGAAUUAACCUUUGGAUCCAAAGUGAAAGUGAAGUCACUCAGUCGUGUCCGACUCUUCGCGACCCCGUGGACUGUAGCCCACCAGGCUCCUCCGUCCAUGGGAUUCUCCAGGAUUUUCUCUGCUCCAUAAUCCUCCCUCAGAAGUUUUCAGACACUGAAGAAAUUUUCAAAGAUUAACCUUUGGAAAAAGUUGUCUUUUUAGAAAAGACAAAAGGAAAAAAAAAACCUAUGUGAAAUUUCCCAGAGACUCUCCUUCUAAUUUACACUAAUAGAUAUGCAGGUCAUAUGGAAAAUUAAACACCAAAAUUUGAAUUUUGGGGGCAAGAGAAUUUAUGCACACAAAUCCUAUUACCAGCUAAUGGGAUUUGUGGGGAUCCCCAGUGACCUAUUUAGAAAAUGUACCCCCUGCUGUUCAAGAUGAAUAUAUCAUGUGAGCUAAACCAGAAUACUUAGUCCUGCAGUUGGCUUUAUCCCCAGUCUGUCUGAGUGAUCCCUCCAUGAUUUCUAAAAGAUGCUGGCAACCAUAGCAGUUUGCAUAUCUGACUGACAGUGCAAAAUGACAUCUAUAUUUUCACUUUUAAGUUCUCCAAAAUUUGUUGCAAAUAUUUUUUAAAGGCCUCUUCCUUCCUUUCUCCUUUCCUCUCUACCCUUCCUUCCUCCUCCUUUUUUUCCUCCUUGUCUUCCUGCUCUCCUUUUUCUCCUCACUUUCUUCUCCUUAUUCUUAAAUGUAGAAAAGAAGUGAAGCAAGCAUUAAGGCAUUAAUAUUCUCUUUCUCUCUGUACUUGGUUGAAGAGAUCGAGGCUCCUGUCACAGUUCAAGUACCUGUCACUGCAGUGGUUUCAGAACUCUCUCGUGAGACAAAUAUACACAUGUUUUUGGAGAACCGUUUCUAAGUCAGGACUGUCAGGUGCUGAGAAAACCAAAUCACCAUGAGUGUGGAAGUGUCUGGGGGUAUUGAUACUGCACUCCUGUCUGUACAAUACUCCCUUGGCAAAACACCAGUUUUCUCUGGGACAUGGUCUCUCACCAACCUCCUGCAGCCCUCUGACUGGAUACAAAAUCACCCCUUCCUUCAAAAGGGCGUGUUUCUAUUUACCAGCCAAUGAAACAUCUAUGUCCAC
This is a long non-coding RNA of Bos taurus (domestic cattle), 2398 nucleotides long. The record is from Ensembl. Lineage: Eukaryota; Metazoa; Chordata; Mammalia; Artiodactyla; Bovidae.